GCGCUCACUUUAGCAGCACAUAUACUAAAAUUGGAACAAUACAGAAAAGAUGGCCCCUGCACAAGGAUGACAUGCAAAUUCGUGAAGCAAACUCAGUAUGA
This is a small nuclear RNA of Sarcophilus harrisii (Tasmanian devil), 101 nucleotides long. Lineage: Eukaryota; Metazoa; Chordata; Mammalia; Dasyuromorphia; Dasyuridae. The record is from Ensembl.